GGACAGGUGGUCGAGCGGUCUAAGGCUCCGGUCUUGAAAACCGGCGUACGUUAUGCGUACCGUGGGUUCGAAUCCCACCCUGUCCGCC
This 88-nucleotide transfer RNA is filed under the name Candidatus Fokinia solitaria. RNAcentral describes it as "tRNA-Ser". It matches the Rfam family "tRNA". Rfam says of the family: Transfer RNA (tRNA) molecules are approximately 80 nucleotides in length. Their secondary structure includes four short double-helical elements and three loops (D, anti-codon, and T loops). Further hydrogen bonds mediate the characteristic L-shaped molecular structure. tRNAs have two regions of fundamental functional importance: the anti-codon, which is responsible for specific mRNA codon recognition, and the 3' end, to which the tRNAs corresponding amino acid is attached (by aminoacyl-tRNA synthetases). tRNAs cope with the degeneracy of the genetic code in two manners: having more than one tRNA (with a specific anti-codon) for a particular amino acid; and 'wobble' base-pairing, i.e. permitting non-standard base-pairing at the 3rd anti-codon position. The record is from RNAcentral. Lineage: Bacteria; Pseudomonadati; Pseudomonadota; Alphaproteobacteria; Rickettsiales; Candidatus Midichloriaceae.